RNAcentral lists this ribosomal RNA (489 nucleotides) under uncultured bacterium. Its description in RNAcentral is "partial 16S ribosomal RNA". It matches the Rfam family "Bacterial small subunit ribosomal RNA", at positions 28 to 507 of the family's 1533-position model. The record is from RNAcentral.
GAUGAACGCUAGCGGGAGGCCUAACACAUGCAAGCCGAGCGGGAUUUGUUGGUUAGCUUGCUCACUAACAAUGAGAGCGGCGUACGGGUGCGUAGCACGUGUGCAACCUGCCUUUAUCUGGGGGAUAGCCUUUCGAAAGGAAGAUUAAUACCCCAUAACAUAUUGAUUGGCAUCAGUUAAUAUUGAAAGCUCCGGCGGAUAGAGAUGGGCACGCGUAAGAUUAGCUAGUUGGUGAGGUAACGGCUCACCAAGGCUGCGAUCUUUAGGGGGCCUGAGAGGGUGAUCCCCCACACUGGUACUGAGACACGGACCAGACUCCUACGGGAGGCAGCAGUGAGGAAUAUUGGACAAUGGUUGAGAGCCUGAUCCAGCCAUCCCGCGUGAAGGACUAAGGACCUAUGGUUUGUAAACUUCUUUUAUACAGGGAUAAGCCUACUCUCGUGAGGGUAGCUGAAGGUACUGUAUGAAUAAGCACCGGCUAACUCCGUG